UACGGAGGGUGCAAGCGUUGUCCGGAUUUAUUGGGUUUAAAGGGUGCGUAGGCGGCCCUGUAAGUCAGUGGUGAAAUACUGCAGCUUAACUGUAGCAUUGCCAUUGAUACUGUAGGGGCUUGAGUACAGAUGAGGUAGGCGGAAAUUGAUGGUGUAGCGGUGAAAUGCAUAGAUACCAUCAAGAACACCGAUUGCGAAGGCAGCUUACUAAGCUGUAACUGACGCUGAGGCACGAAAGCGUGGGGGAUCGAACAGG
This 256-nucleotide ribosomal RNA is filed under the name uncultured bacterium. Its description in RNAcentral is "partial 16S ribosomal RNA". It matches the Rfam family "Bacterial small subunit ribosomal RNA", at positions 524 to 776 of the family's 1533-position model. The record is from RNAcentral.